CCAGCCUGAUAAGAAGAUUUCCCUGCAAUACAGACAGCAAGGAAAUGUAAACCACUUGCCACUUCGAAGGCUGGAUCAAGCCAGUGUUAAUGGGGAGAGACCAACAAGAAGAUGCUUUGGGAGUUUCAAUGCAGGGUUCUGUGCUCUGACAUGGAUCUUCUGUUCCAUAAGGAAACUGCUGCAACACAGAGGCUAAGAAACUCCAGUGUGUUCUUGAGAUGUGUUAAUUCCAAUAAGAAUUGCUCCAGUAAUGACUAUGGUCAGAAGCACCAGGAUAACAGAGAUGAAGAUUAUUUGCUUCCUGUCCUUGGGAACUGUAGAGUGAUUGCCUACACCUUGCCAACAAGAACAUGGGAAGUUGACAUAGAGUUGCAGGAAUUGCUAAUAACGUAUCUAUACAAGGCCAAAUUCGGAAACAAUAAUUUAAAUGAAAAUAAAAUCAUUUUUUACUCAGUGUGUGUGUGGACCAUCUCUGUCUACUCUCCGAGAGUUCACUGUCUGUGGCAGCCUUCAAAGUCAUCUUCCAGAGUCAUCUCCUCUUUCUGGUGCACAC
Molecule: long non-coding RNA, 553 nt
Filed under: Pogona vitticeps (central bearded dragon)
Lineage: Eukaryota; Metazoa; Chordata; Lepidosauria; Squamata; Agamidae
Description: lncRNA (ENSPVIG00000006632.1)
Source: RNAcentral